UAAAGUACAACGAAAUAAGUACCAAAAAAACCCUAGUAAAACCUAAACAAAGAGUCAGAAUACUGAACAAUUAUAAGAAUGAAAGUCCAGCGCUAAUUUCAGCAUAUUGAGAAAAGAGGCCAUAAAAGAUAAUGAUUCACAAAGUUUUAGUAAUUUUGAAAAGUGACGAAAAUGAUGCUUUUAUAAUAGAGAUAACUUGACUUGACGCAAUAGAUUAUUUUCAAAAGGGUAAGUAAAUCUGUUAAGUCUAAGAACACCUUAAAAUUAUUAAGCACAACAAAUAAUUUUACGCACAUCUAAAGUCUCAUUCAUUAUUUUAAUUAACUUCCGAAAAAGCAUACAAAGUAUCCAAUACUCCGCUCAUAGCUUGCCCAGAGCAAAAAGGAAAAUCAUUUGACAGCUUUAAAAAUUUAACUCGCAUAUUUCUUAAAAUAUGGUUCAGUUGGUGCUUUGAGCAACAUGAAUUCUAUGUAGGCUCAAUUGCUUACAUCGAAUGGCAAAACAAAUGUAGAAAGCAUACAGCCUUUUUUUUCUUUAAAAAGCUGAUAGGAAAAAAAUAUCAAAAAAAAGUAUCAUUUCGAAAAGGCUUUGACCAACCUUCCGGGUAAGACAUAAUUAAAGAAGGAAAUGUAGACCUUUUUGCUCAACAUAGCUUUGUUGCUGUAACAAGACUUCCGAAUAAUACUCACCAAUCAAAUUUGGUACAAAAAAGUACACGUUUGGGUCUUUCUGCUCGUUCUUUCCCAUUGUAACUAAUGUUGCAAAAGGAAGAUACAGCGUUAGUGGUCUGCCAUAAAGCUUACCGCAAUAUCGCUUUCCGUUGGAAUACGCAAAAAAAAUAUUACCGCCCGUACGAAAUCACCGUAAUUAAUAUUAUAAAAGGCCAACGUAGGAUUGUUUUCGUUUCGCUAAGCUUAUUACCUUCUUUGGAACAAAACACUUGCGCGACAAUCAUAACCUAGCUUAUUUAAGGUUACCUUGACUCAGUUCAAUUAUUAAUGGUUUUGCACGAGUAAUUUCUUUCAUGUUUGUAGAAUUAUGAAUUAAA
Molecule: non-coding RNA, 1048 nt
Organism: Schizosaccharomyces pombe (fission yeast)
Lineage: Eukaryota; Fungi; Ascomycota; Schizosaccharomycetes; Schizosaccharomycetales; Schizosaccharomycetaceae
Source: the annotation of a GenBank genome assembly